AUGAGUACCAUCGUUUGGAAUUGUCGUGGGGCGGGCAACCCUGCGACAAUUUGUAAGCUUUGUGAAAUCACGAAGUGUUUUGCCCCAGCGAUCCUGUGCAUUCUUGAAACUCAGAUAGAAGGGUCGAGAGUUGAAAAUCUUUCUGUUUUUUUAGGUUUUAAUAAAGCUUUUGCUGUUAGUAGUGUUGGAAGAAGCGGUGGUCUUGGUGUAUUUGGGAAUGAUGCAAUAAAAGCAAGUGUUAUUGGUUACUCUCCUUAUCAUAUAGACAUGGAAGUUCACGAACUGGGCAAUACUCCCUUCAGGUUCACCUUUGUUUAUGGUGAGGCGCAGGUCCCGGAACGCUAUAAAACUUGGGACACAUUGCGAGGCUAG
RNAcentral lists this ribosomal RNA (372 nucleotides) under Triticum aestivum (bread wheat). RNAcentral describes it as "partial small subunit ribosomal RNA". Lineage: Eukaryota; Viridiplantae; Streptophyta; Magnoliopsida; Poales; Poaceae. The record is from RNAcentral.